UCCGGUUUGUCACCGGCAGUCAUCCUAGAGUGCCCACCCGGAGUGCUGGCAACUAAGAUCAAGGGUUGCGCUCGUUGCGGGACUUAACCCAACAUCUCACAACACGAGCUGACGACAACCAUGCACCACCUGUGUAGGGCCCCGAAGGACACCGUAUCUCUACGGCUUUUCCCUACAUGUCAAGCCCAGGUAAGGUUCCUCGCGUAUCAUCGAAUUAAACCACAUGCUCCACCGCUUGUGCGGGCCCCCGUCAAUUCCUUUGAGUUUCAUUCUUGCGAACGUACUCCCCAGGUGGGUUACUUAUCACUUUCGCUUAGCCACUCAGUCUUACGACCAAACAGCUAGUAACCAUCGUUUACGGCGUAGACUAC
This 371-nucleotide unclassified non-coding RNA is filed under the name uncultured bacterium. Its description in RNAcentral is "contains 16S-23S intergenic spacer region". The record is from RNAcentral.